Molecule: long non-coding RNA, 446 nt
Filed under: Setaria italica (foxtail millet)
Lineage: Eukaryota; Viridiplantae; Streptophyta; Magnoliopsida; Poales; Poaceae
Description: long non-coding RNA (SITA_LNC000175)
Source: RNAcentral
UUUGAUCUGUACCUGGGGACAAAUUAUUGGCAUGAAGUUCAGUUCAGUGGUCCAACUUCAGUUAAUUGGAUGGACAUCAUAGUUGCAGCUCCUGCUGAUUACCUGCAAGUUUGUUUGGUGAACAAAGGGAUGGGAACUCCAUUUAUAUCUGGGCUGGAUUUGAGGCCAUUGAAGAGUACUCUUUAUCCAGAGUCAAAUUCUAGUCAAUCUCUUGUGCUGAUCAAUUCUAAUCGGUUUAACAUGGGGCCCACAGACAAUUCCAUAGUCCGGUGAGUUUGAAUUUAGUUCUGAAUGUAUGAAAUUUCAACUGGCCAAGUCAGUCUAAUCACCCUGUUGAUUGAUAAAAGUAGAAACUGUGAUGAUGCAAAUAUUUCGUACACCACGAUAUCUUGUGGACUUGUUGAAAAUAAAUAGGAAAAGGAAAAGAAACCACUUUUAUGAAUGAC